UGCUGUCUCUCUGUUUGCCUCCUAGCAUGGUGUAUCCCGGCGGGGCCUCAAACACACAUGGGGGAAUCUCUCCGGCUCGACAUGACACUGCAGCACACAGAGAUGGUCUGUUCUGGUCCUGGUGAUCAGCUCUACGUUGGAUGCUGCGUACACCUGAAAGAGGAAGAGACGUUUGACUCUUGUGUUCUGUUGACAGUGGCUUUACUUCCUGAUUGAACGUAUUGAGGUGGUAACCAUUCCCUCUGCCGCAAACUGAGUUUUUUCAUUUUGUUUGCCAAAAGACAAAAAAUGUUUUUGUCACUGAGCCAAAACAAAACCAUAACACUAUCAAACCAUGAAUUAGUGUUAGUAGUCUGCAGUAUAUAGGUCAACGUCUUCAAGCUACAGUCCAGAGCACAAUACUGGAAUUACUCACUAGUGACCACAAAAAGAAAGUGCUGAUUAAAAAUUGAGCAGGCUGCUGAAUUUAAGUUUACUAUGGGCUAAAAAGCCAGGAAGAGCGCAACGCAACAGGAGUUGCCCGUUAAUGUUUGUAACUCUAGAUCAAUGAUGCAGAAAAUAGAUGCUUUUCGGGCAGCAGUAUUUUACUGUAGAGCCUGUCUGAAGUGCUUUUAAACCACUAGUGACAGAUGGUCCUGGGUGUCUGACACUUGUCUCCCAUCGAUCCCUCCAGGGGGGCAAGAAAACAAAUGGGGUCAAGGUAAUACAUGUGUCUGCAUGAAACAUAGACUGCUUUUUUUAACUUAAUUUGAUAAGCCAUCUGGCCUUUUUAUGUGCAGAUGAAUUUUUGCUCAUCUGAGAGUAAGGAAUUCAUGCGUAACUGUCUUUUUAAAAUAAAUACCAUAAAUCUUAAAA
Molecule: long non-coding RNA, 855 nt
Organism: Micropterus salmoides (largemouth bass)
Lineage: Eukaryota; Metazoa; Chordata; Actinopteri; Centrarchiformes; Centrarchidae
Exons: 2
Source: RefSeq, a predicted model, not a curated record